RNAcentral lists this unclassified non-coding RNA (168 nucleotides) under soil metagenome. Its description in RNAcentral is "partial contains 5.8S ribosomal RNA, internal transcribed spacer 2, and large subunit ribosomal RNA". The record is from RNAcentral.
AACUGAUACUACCUGCGGGAACCUGCGGAGGGAUCAUUAGUGAACGCCCUCACGGGCUUAUAACUAUUCCAAACCUCUGUGGACCGUGCCCUUCGGGGCUAUUUUACAAACAUGGUGUAAUGAACGUCAUAUAUCAUAACAAAACAAAACUUUUAACAAUGGAUCUCU